GCCGACAUAGCUCAGUUGGCAGAGCGUCACCAUGGUAAGGUGAAGGUCCCCGGUUCGAACCCGGGUGUCGGCU
Non-coding RNA from Candidatus Kaiserbacteria bacterium, 73 nucleotides. Lineage: Bacteria; Candidatus Kaiseribacteriota. The record is from Rfam.